This 1830-nucleotide long non-coding RNA is filed under the name Salmo salar (Atlantic salmon). Its description in RNAcentral is "lncRNA (ENSSSAG00000104903.1)". The record is from RNAcentral. Lineage: Eukaryota; Metazoa; Chordata; Actinopteri; Salmoniformes; Salmonidae.
AUUGUCUAUACAUAGUGGCUGUGAGUCGGUCUGGCUAAUUGUCUAUACAUAGUGGCUGUGAGUCGGUGUGGCUAAUAGUCUAUACAUAGUGGCUGUGAGUCGGUGUGGCUAAUAGUCUAUACAUAGUGGCUGUGAGUCGGUGUGGCUAAUUGUCUAUACAUAGUGGCUGUGAGUCGGUCUGGCUAAUUGUCUAUACAUAGUGGCUGUGAGUCGGUCUGGCUAAUUGUCUAUACAUAGUGGCUGUGAGUCGGUCUGGCUAAUAGUCUAUACAUAGUGGCUGUGAGUCGGUCUGGCUAAUAGUCUAUACAUAGUGGCUGUGAGUCGGUCUGGCUAAUAGUCUAUACAUAGUGGCUGUGAGUCGGUCUGGCUAAUAGUCUAUACAUAGUGGCUGUGAGUCGGUGUGGCUAAUUGUCUAUACAUAGUGGCUGUGAGUCGGUCUGGCUAAUAGUCUAUACAUAGUGGCUGUGAGUCGGUGUGGCUAAUUGUCUAUACAUAGUGGCUGUGAGUGUGUGAGAGAUAAGAACACAAUGAUUAGUCCUAAAUGUCCUGAGACAUCACACUGAGACAACAGAACAGAGAAGGUCAGAACAGUACAGAACAGAGCAGAACAGAACAGAACAGAGCAGAGCAGGUCACAACAGAAAAGAACAGAGCAGGUCACAACAGAAAAGAACAGAGCAGAGCAGAACAGAGCAGAACAGAACAGAGCAGAGCAGGUCACAACAGAAAAGAACAGAGCAGAUCAGAACAGGUCAGAACAGAACAGGUCAGAACAGAACAGAAAAGAACAGAGCAGGUCAGAACAGAAAAGAACAGAGCAGAACAGAACAGAGCAGAUCAGAACAGAGCAGGUCACAACAGAAAAGAACAGAGCAGAGCAGAACAGAGCAGAUCAGAACAGAGCAGUGCAGAACAGGUCAGAACAGAACAGAAAAGAACAGAGCAGGUCAGAACAGAAAGGAACAGAGCAGGUCAGAACAGAACAGAACAGGUCAGAACAGAACAGAGCAGAGCAGAGCAAAGCAGAACAAGUCAGAACAGAGCAAAGCAGAACAGAACAGAACAGAGCAGAACAGAACAGGUCAGAACAGGUCAGAACAGAGCAGAACAGAGCAGAGCAGAAAAGGUCAGAACAGGUCAGAACAGAGCAGAGCAGAAAAGGUCAGAACAGGUCAGAACAGAGCAGAGCAGAACAGGUCAGAACAGAACAGAGCAGAACAGAACAGAGCAGAGCAGGUCAGAACAGACCAGAGCAGGUCAGAACAGUGCAGAGCAGUGCAGAGCACAACAGAGCACAACAGAGCAGGUCAGAACAGUGCAGAGCAGAACAGAGCAGAACAGAGCAGAACAGAGCAGGUCAGAACAGUGCAGAGCAGAACAGAGCAGAACAGGUCAGAACAGAGCACAACAGAACAGAGCACAACAGUGCAGAACAGAGACCUUAAUAACUACAGGCUUAUCUCUGACACACAACACCUAAGCUACACUCAUACACAGUCUGACUGUGACACAGGAUUUUAUCAGCGAAACUAAUUCAAAUAUGUCAAUCUCUUACAGAUCCUAAAGUAAACACAGGUAACCUCCAUUUGCACUGUGGUUUCCUUGUUCAUAUGUCUAAGUUCAUGUCAACAUCUCUCAACGUCUAGAUUCCAAACGGUGCCAGUCGGCCCUGAGUGUCAAACAGACCAGGGGACGAGGCCCCGCCGGCUGUCUGAGGAACGGACCAGGGGACGAGGCCCCGCCGGCUGUCUGAGGAACGGACCAGGGGACGAGGCCCCGCCGGCUGUCUGAGGAACGGACCAGGGGACGAGGCCCCGCCGGCUGUCUGAG